AUUGAACGCUGGCGGAAUGCUUUACACAUGCAAGUCGAACGGCAGCACGGACUUCGGUCUGGUGGCGAGUGGCGAACGGGUGAGUAAUGUAUCGGAACGUGCCCAGUCGUGGGGGAUAACGUAGUGAAAAUUACGCUAAUACCGCAUACGAUCUAUGGAUGAAAGCGGGGGAUCGCAAGACCUCGCGCGAUGGGAGCGGCCGAAAUCAGAUUAGGGAGUUGGUGGGGUAAAGGCCCACCAAGCCAACGAUCUGUAGCUGGUCUGAGAGGACGGCAAGCCACACUGGCACUGGGCCAGGGUCCAGACUCCUACGGGAGCCCGCAGUGGGGAAUUUUGGACAAUGGGGGAAAGCCUGAUCCAGCCAUUCCGCGUGCAGGAUGACGGCCCUCGGGUUGUAAACUGCUUUUGUACAGCACGAAAAGGUUUCUACUAAUACUAGGAGCUCAUGACGGUACUGUAAGAAUAAGCACCGGCUAACUACGUGCCAGCCGCCGCGGUAA
This 500-nucleotide ribosomal RNA is filed under the name uncultured bacterium. Its description in RNAcentral is "partial 16S ribosomal RNA". It matches the Rfam family "Bacterial small subunit ribosomal RNA", at positions 30 to 523 of the family's 1533-position model. The record is from RNAcentral.